RNAcentral lists this ribosomal RNA (497 nucleotides) under uncultured bacterium. RNAcentral describes it as "partial 16S ribosomal RNA". It matches the Rfam family "Bacterial small subunit ribosomal RNA", at positions 28 to 507 of the family's 1533-position model. The record is from RNAcentral.
GAUGAACGCUGGCGGCGUGCCUAAUACAUGCAAGUCGAGCGAACAGAUGAGGAGCUUGCUCCUCUGACGUUAGCGGCGGACGGGUGAGUAACACGUGGAUAACCUACCUAUAAGACUGGGAUAACUUCGGGAAACCGGAGCUAAUACCGGAUAAUAUAUUGAACCGCAUGGUUCAAUAGUGAAAGACGGUUUUGCUGUCACUUAUAGAUGGAUCCGCGCCGCAUUAGCUAGUUGGUAAGGUAACGGCUUACCAAGGCAACGAUGCGUAGCCGACCUGAGAGGGUGAUCGGCCACACUGGAACUGAGACACGGUCCAGACUCCUACGGGAGGCAGCAGUAGGGAAUCUUACGCAAUGGGCGAAAGCCUGACGGAGCAACGCCGCGUGAGUGAUGAAGGUCUUCGGAUCGUAAAACUCUGUUAUGAGGGAAGAACAAAUGUGUAAGUAACUAUGCACGUCUUGACGGUACCUAAUCAGAAAGCCACGGCUAACUACGUG